Dermochelys coriacea (leatherback sea turtle) is the source of this 293-nucleotide long non-coding RNA. RefSeq lists it as uncharacterized. Lineage: Eukaryota; Metazoa; Chordata; Testudines; Dermochelyidae. The transcript has 2 exons. The record is from RefSeq and is a predicted model, not a curated record.
CCCAGAAAUUCAGAGGUUGACUCAGAGUCCCCCUGCCCUAACGCUAACAAAAACAUUCAUAUUUAAUAGAAAGCUUCCAGUUUCUGUAGCCAUUUAUUCUGCUUCCUUAGAACCAAGAAGGAGCUGGUGGAGUCUGCUUUCCUUCUGAGGCUGUGUUGUGGACUUUGAAACCCUUAAGUAGAGCUGCUGAUCUUGAUGUACUUCACUGGUUCCCUCUGUUAACUACAGUCCUCUGAUGUGCCACCGCACUGUCUUUUACAUAAAAACAUUAAAUAAAGGGAAGCAUCACUCAA